Molecule: ribosomal RNA, 900 nt
Filed under: uncultured bacterium
Lineage: Bacteria
Description: bacterial SSU rRNA
Rfam family: Bacterial small subunit ribosomal RNA
Source: RNAcentral
GAUUGAACGCUGGCGGUAGGCUUAACACAUGCAAGUCGAGCGGAAACGAAGAAUAGCUUGCUAUUCUGGCGUCGAGCGGCGGACGGGUGAGUAAUGCUUGGGAAUAUGCCAAAACGUGGGGGACAACAGUUGGAAACGACUGCUAAUACCGCAUAAUGUCUACGGACCAAAGCAGGGGACCUUCGGGCCUUGCGCGUUUUGAUUAGCCCAAGUGGGAUUAGCUAGUUGGUAAGGUAAUGGCUUACCAAGGCGACGAUCCCUAGCUGGUCUUAGAGGAUGACCAGCCACACUGGAACUGAGACACGGUCCAGACUCCUACGGGAGGCAGCAGUGGGGAAUAUUGCACAAUGGAGGAAACUCUGAUGCAGCCAUGCCGCGUAUGCGAAGAAGGCUUUCGGGUUGUAAAGCACUUUCAGUGGGGAGGAAAGGGUGUACGUUAAUAGCGUGCAUCUGUGACGUUACCCACAGAAGAAGCACCGGCUAACUCCGUGCCAGCAGCCGCGGUAAUACGGAGGGUGCGAGCGUUAAUCGGAAUUACUGGGCGUAAAGCGCGCGUAGGUGGUUAAUUAAGUCAGAUGUGAAAGCCCAGGGCUCAACCUUGGAACUGCAUUUGAAACUGGUUAACUAGAGUUUUGUAGAGGGUGGUAGAAUUUCAGGUGUAGCGGUGAAAUGCGUAGAGAUCUGAAGGAAUACCAGUGGCGAAGGCGGCCACCUGGACAAAGACUGACACUGAGGCGCGAAGGCGUGGGGAGCAAACGGGAUUAGAUACCCCGGUAGUCCACGCAGUAAACGAUGUCUAUUAGAAGUUUGUGGCUAUAUGCCGUGGGUUUCAAAGCUAACGCAUUAAAUAGACCGCCUGGGGAGUACGGCCGCAAGGUUAAAACUCAAAUGAAUUGACGG